ACAAGCGGAUCUCUUAAAGACUGUUCUCAGUUCGGACUGCAGUCUGCAACUCGACUGCACGAAGCUGGAAUCGCUAGUAAUCGCGGAUCAGCACGCCGCGGUGAAUACGUUCCCGGGCCUUGUACACACCGCCCGUCACACCAUGGAAGUCUGCAAUGCCCGAAGCCGGUGGCCUAACCACUUAUGUGGAAGGAGCCGUCUAAGGCAGGGCAGAUGACUGGGGUGAAGUCGUAACAAGGUAUC
This 243-nucleotide ribosomal RNA is filed under the name uncultured bacterium. RNAcentral's name for it is "partial 16S ribosomal RNA". It matches the Rfam family "Bacterial small subunit ribosomal RNA", at positions 1263 to 1500 of the family's 1533-position model. The record is from RNAcentral.